Molecule: long non-coding RNA, 1136 nt
Filed under: Salvator merianae (Argentine black and white tegu)
Lineage: Eukaryota; Metazoa; Chordata; Lepidosauria; Squamata; Teiidae
Description: lncRNA (ENSSMRG00000002054.1)
Source: RNAcentral
GAGAAGCAUAUAAGGCGGCAUUCAAAAAUAAAUAAUUAAAACCUGUUGCAGAGCAAGAUGUGGACAGAAGGGGUCGGUGGUCUCCCUGAGCCACAGAAGGGGCCGUUGGAUCCCAUACGGAGGUUCCUGAGCAGGGAGAACAUUCGGGAGGGUGAAGAAGUCGCCUGCACGGGUGAGGAUUAAGCAAUGGUUUUUGAACUUGGGGUGUAUCUGUUUAGCACGUGAAUCCCUGUUCUGUUCUUCUUGGUGUUGUAUUGGCGAAAAUGCUGAACUCCAUCCNUUUCAGAGUCCAAUAGGUCUGGCUCAGUGUUCAUGGAGGGCAGCCAAAGGAUGGGAAAGGGGGACCUUUCAGACCAGAAAUCCUNUCUACGUUGCUGCAGUUCCAAGUGAUCCCUUUCCCCCAGAGAAAGGGGGAAUCAGCCUGGGUACCUCAGGGUGAGGGGUGGGAUGUUGCUGGGACUCCCUGUCUGCCCUAUGUUCUUCCCAGGCCAUUUAGGGCUUUACUCUUGUGGACUAGCACCUUGGAUGAGCUCUAAAGCUGAUCUGGUCAGUCNNUCCCCCUAAUCCUUGGUGUCUUUCACAGGCAAUGCAAAGGGUCCUCCAGCUUGUGACGGAGAGGAAAUGGGUGCUGAGUGGCCCCUGGAUCAGACCCAAGUGACUUUUGAAGACGUGGCUGUGUGUUUCACAGAGGAGGAGUGGGCUUUGCUGGAUCCGUCCCAGAGGGCUUUGCACUGCAAAGUCACAGAAGAGAUUUACGCAGAUCUGGCCUGUGUGGGUAAGUCUUUCUUUGGCAGGAUUGACUAAUCGCUAAUAAUUAUUUCACCAUUAUAAUUUUGUAUAAUAGGUUCCAUUGCAGAGGGUUGCAAUCUAUAUUACCUAAACAAUUCACCGUUUCUUAUAACCCUCCAAAGAUAUAAGGCAGUUUCUUCAUAAUCCUAACCCUGACCACAAUUGUAACCCUAAUCCCAGCUCUAAUCCCAUCCCUAUCCUUAAUUCUAGUUCUAAUUCUAACUGUGACCAUAUCCAAAGUUAAGCACCCUAAUUAAAAACUAUUUUUUCUUCCUCUCCUUGAUUUGUUGGGAGAGGCAUUCACAUUAAAAAAUAAAAUCUUUAUACUUUUCUCUUUAGAAAGCUAU